RNAcentral lists this transfer RNA (87 nucleotides) under Candidatus Komeilibacteria bacterium CG_4_10_14_0_2_um_filter_37_10. RNAcentral describes it as "tRNA-Tyr". It matches the Rfam family "tRNA". Rfam says of the family: Transfer RNA (tRNA) molecules are approximately 80 nucleotides in length. Their secondary structure includes four short double-helical elements and three loops (D, anti-codon, and T loops). Lineage: Bacteria; Candidatus Komeiliibacteriota. The record is from RNAcentral.
GGGUCGGUACCAAAGCGGUCAACUGGGACAGACUGUAAAUCUGUUGGCCUUGCGCCUUCGUAGGUUCGAAUCCUACCCGGCCCACCA